Girardinichthys multiradiatus is the source of this 280-nucleotide long non-coding RNA. RefSeq lists it as uncharacterized. The record is from RefSeq and is a predicted model, not a curated record. The transcript has 3 exons. Lineage: Eukaryota; Metazoa; Chordata; Actinopteri; Cyprinodontiformes; Goodeidae.
GCGUUUUUCUCUGCAUCCAGAGAGCGGACUCUGUUUCUCAAGGCUCUUAUCUCAAGGUCCAGACGGUCAUUAAGCUCUUUGGCCUUCCGCAGUUCGACCAUUUCUUCAUAAAAAACAAAAAGCGUCAUGGUGAAGACUGCUGACUUGACAGCUGUCCAGCAGAGUCUAUGACAACCUCUAUAUAAGAAAAGCCCAAACAUGAACUGGAUCUGCAAAUUAGCUAGGUACCUAGAAAGCCUAUCUACAGGGCACUGGUUGCUUUUGUGACAUUGACCAUGCU